UCUCCGUUGGUGAACCAGCGGAGGGAUCAUUACCGAGUUUACAACUCCCAAACCCCUGUGAACUUUACCUAUCGUUGCCUCGGCGGACCGCCCCGGCGCCCUCGGGCCCGGGCCAAGGCGCCCGCCGGAGGACCCAAACUCUUGUUUCUUAUAGAAUCUUCUGAGUGGCAUAAGCAAAAAUAAAUCAAAACUUUCAACAACGGAUCUCUUGGUUCUGGCAUCGAUGAAGAACGCAGC
RNAcentral lists this unclassified non-coding RNA (237 nucleotides) under uncultured fungus. RNAcentral describes it as "sequence contains ITS1, 5.8S rRNA gene". The stretch from base 189 to 237 matches the Rfam family "5.8S ribosomal RNA", at positions 1 to 49 of the family's 154-position model. Lineage: Eukaryota; Fungi. The record is from RNAcentral.